RNAcentral lists this long non-coding RNA (1199 nucleotides) under Equus caballus (horse). RNAcentral's name for it is "lncRNA (ENSECAG00000047063.1)". Lineage: Eukaryota; Metazoa; Chordata; Mammalia; Perissodactyla; Equidae. The record is from RNAcentral.
CAUUAGGCUCCCGCUGGCACUUUUAUUCCAACCAUAAAAAGGCUAUUUCAUUGAGAAAUAAAGUCCCAUCUCCCUGACGUGUAACUCCUUUCAGAGCUCUUACUCAGCCGCCAGCAAAAUUUAUGUUUCCUGGAUGCUCUCUCCUGGGAUUGCAACUGGAAAUUGGGGAGAGAGGGCUGGAAGUGGGGAUUUCUUUUCUGGUGGGUGGGAAUGUGUUUAUUCCUUUGGUCUAAGGAGCCCGGAAAACCACAAGGUAGCCAGGAAAGAACCCCUGCCUUGGAAUGAGGAGGCCAGAUGGAGACCUGGUUCUGCCGUCCGUGACCUUGGGCGAGGCCCUGAGCCUCAGUUUCCUCGUGUGUAAAAUGGAAGAACGAUUCCUUCUCUCCUCAGAGGGAUGGUGCUAGUUGCAGUGGGCAGCUGGAGGUGGAAAGCACUUGGAAGAUGUAGGGGUGCCAAGUGUGGCCAUUAUUAUGGAGGCAGAAGAAGCCUCUGACUUAGAGGGGUAUCCCGGCACAGAUUCUCCCGGGGAGUGGUCCUCAGCCUCCGUGUGCAUCAGAAUCACCUGGAGGGCUUGUUAAAGCACAGACGGCUGGGAUUAAAACCCACCCCCUGAGUUUCUGGAUCUGUAGGUCUGGGAUGAAGCCCAAGAAUUUGCAUUUUUAACCAGUUCUCGGCGAUGCUGAUGCUGCUGGUCCAAGGACCCCACUUUGAGAACCACCGUUCUGAGAGCUUUGAGAUCUGGGAUGUGGGACAGCUCAGCCUGGGACUUGGGAGAGGAAGAAGGAGCUGGUGGGAGGUCACCUGUGGAGCAACCUGAUGCUGAAGCGGAGGCUCAGAGAAGUGAACUGACUUGCUCAAGAUCACACAGCUUGGGCAGGACACCCAGAGGCAGCUCUUCCCACCACACUCUGUCUCUGGUUAUGCAGUAAUUUGGAGGAUUACUAAGCUGAUGACUCUAAUUCCAGUUUAAGUAACAUUCAAAUACCCGAUGGAGACUUACAGCUGAGGCUGGAAGAGCGUGUUGUGAUGGAAGAAGCCUGCAUCUAAAAUCUGGGAAUUCAAGACCUUCAGCAAGGGAAAACAAUGAGCCUGGAUGUUGCGGGAUGUCAAAACCGGUUCAAGGAGCAAAACCCCAAAGGGAAACUGGAGCACUGGCUGCUCCAGGUAACAGGAGAGAAAGACAAUAAAUGCAUCACAGA